Molecule: ribosomal RNA, 496 nt
Filed under: uncultured bacterium
Lineage: Bacteria
Description: partial 16S ribosomal RNA
Rfam family: Bacterial small subunit ribosomal RNA
Source: RNAcentral
AUGCACGCUUGCGGCGUGCCUAAUACCUGCAAGUCGAGCGAACAGACGAGGAGCUUGCUCCUCUGACGUUAGCGGCGGACGGGUGAGUAACACGUGGAUAACCUACCUAUAAGACUGGGAUAACUUCGGGAAACCGGAGCUAAUACCGGAUAAUAUAUUGAACCGCAUGGUUCAAUAGUGAAAGACGGUUUUGCUGUCACUUAUAGAUGGAUCCGCGCCGCAUUAGCUAGUUGGUAAGGUAACGGCUUACCAAGGCAACGAUGCGUAGCCGACCUGAGAGGGUGAUCGGCCACACUGGAACUGAGACACGGUCCAGACUCCUACGGGAGGCAGCAGUAGGGAAUCUUCCGCAAUGGGCGAAAGCCUGACGGAGCAACGCCGCGUGAGUGAUGAAGGUCUUCGGAUCGUAAAACUCUGUUAUUAGGGAAGAACAAAUGUGUAAGUAACUAUGCACGUCUUGACGGUACCUAAUCAGAAAGCCACGGCUAACUACGUG